UGGGAGCCUCCGCUGGGGGCAUCCUGAGUCAGGCUGUGAGCAGAUUCGCCACCAGAGGGCGCCCCGGGCCCUGGGUCGUCCAAGGGGACAAGGACGUUCCCUGACCCCCCCAUCCUGCAGCCCACCUUCCUGCAGUGUCGUGGCAGGCGACACCGACUCCUAGGCGCCCUCCAGAGAUCCCAUCUUAGGCGACACCGACUCCUAGGCGCCCUCCAGAGCCAAGCAGCUUGCGACUUCUGGUGGGCACUGGAAUCCCCUGGGAUGCUUGUUUUAAAAGUCCUGGGCCGGGCACGGUGGCUCACGCCUGUAAUCCCAGCACUUUGGGAGGCUAAGGCGGGUGGAUCACGAGGUCAGGAGUUCAAGACCAGCCUGGCCAACAUGGUGAAACCCUGUCUCUACUAAAAAUACAAAAAUUAGCCAGACGUGGUGGUGUGCGCAUGUAGUCCCAGCUACUCAGGAGGCUGAGGC
Molecule: small RNA, 468 nt
Filed under: Pan troglodytes (chimpanzee)
Lineage: Eukaryota; Metazoa; Chordata; Mammalia; Primates; Hominidae
Description: processed transcript
Source: RNAcentral